RNAcentral lists this ribosomal RNA (369 nucleotides) under uncultured bacterium. Its description in RNAcentral is "bacterial SSU rRNA". It matches the Rfam family "Bacterial small subunit ribosomal RNA", at positions 29 to 396 of the family's 1533-position model. The record is from RNAcentral.
AUUGAACGCUGGCGGAAUGCUUUACACAUGCAAGUCGAGCGGCAGCGCGGGGGCAACCCUGGGCGGCGAGCGGCGAACGGGUGAGUAAUACAUCGGAACGUGUCCUUAAGUGGGGGAUAGCUCGGCGAAAGCCGGAUUAAUACCGCAUAAGCUCUGAGGAGGAAAGCGGGGGCUCCGUAAGGACCUCGCGCUGUUGGAGCGGCCGAUGUCGGAUUAGCCAGUUGGCGGGGUAAGAGCCCACCAAGGCGACGAUCGGUAGCUGGUACUGAGAGGACGACCAGCCACACUGGGACUGAGACACGGCCCAGACUCCUACGGGAGGCAGCAGUGGGGAAUUUUGGACAAUGGGGCAACCCUGAUCCAGCCAUG